AAGGCCUUAGCUUAAUUAAAGUGUUUGAGUUGCAUUCAGAAGAUAUGGGAUAAGGUCCUAUAGGUCUUA
RNAcentral lists this transfer RNA (69 nucleotides) under Natator depressus (flatback sea turtle). It matches the Rfam family "tRNA". From Rfam's summary of the family: Transfer RNA (tRNA) molecules are approximately 80 nucleotides in length. Lineage: Eukaryota; Metazoa; Chordata; Testudines; Cheloniidae. The record is from RNAcentral.